This 497-nucleotide ribosomal RNA is filed under the name uncultured bacterium. RNAcentral describes it as "partial 16S ribosomal RNA". It matches the Rfam family "Bacterial small subunit ribosomal RNA", at positions 28 to 507 of the family's 1533-position model. The record is from RNAcentral.
GUUGAACGCUGGCGGCGUGCCUAAUACAUGCAAGUCGAGCGAACGGACGAGAAGCUUGCUUCUCUGAUGUUAGCGGCGGACGGGUGAGUAAUACGUGGAUAACCUACCUAUAAGACUGGGAUAACUUCGGGAAACCGGAGCUAAUACCGGCUAAUAUUUUGAACCGCAUGGUUCAAAAGUGAAAGACGGUCUUGCUGUCACUUAUAGAUGUAUCCGCGCUGCAUUAGCUAGUUGGUAAGGUAACGGCUUACCAAGGCAACGAUGCAUAGCCGACCUGAGAGGGUGAUCGGCCACACUGGAACUGAGACACGGUCCAGACUCCUACGGGAGGCAGCAGUAGGGAAUCUUCCGCAAUGGGCGAAAGCCUGACGGAGCAACGCCGCGUGAGUGAUGAAGGUCUUCGGAUCGUAAAACUCUUUUAGUUGGGAAGAACAUAUGUGUAAGUAACUGUGCACGUCUUGACGGUACCUAAUCAGAAAGCCACGGCUAACUACGUG